GUGGCUUAGUGGUUAGAGCAUCCGCCUCAGAUGCGAGAGAUCGUGUGUUUGAUCUCCUGUCGAGUCAUACCA
This is a non-coding RNA of Potamilus streckersoni, 72 nucleotides long. NCBI's taxonomy places the organism in Eukaryota, Metazoa, Mollusca, Bivalvia, Unionida, Unionidae. The record is from the annotation of a GenBank genome assembly.